UAUCUGUAUUGCUGUUUUACAGAAUGAACAAUGAGAGCACAGGAGAGUUGAUUUCUCCAUGAAAAGCAGCCACCAGAUACUGGGAAGAGGGUUGCAAGAAGGCAGCUCAGCUGCUGCUGGAGCUACUCACCGCUUUCCACCACGUCCCCGGGGAAUGGAGCCCACAGUUCUCGCUGAACUCCAAGCAGCAGGAGUCUGGCACCCGGGUUGUGUUGUACACUUCAAACCAGUCAGUAUAGUUGGAGACUCCACAGCAUCUGAACUGGAAAAAGAACCAAGCGACACUAGCUUCUGAGCAAGGAUAAUUGGGAGACAGUCCUGUACUUGGAGAAGGGAAAAAGCACAGAUCACAUGGAAGAAAAUACCUGUAACGAGCAGUUUGUUGGAGCCAGUUAUUAUUUCAGACUUUCUGUUCUUCCACAAAGGCUGAUGUUUUGCCAUGGCCAGAAAGAGCCUGGUCAGCUUGCAAAGAGGCAGCAGCCGUGUCCCCUGUGCGCUGUGUAUGGCCAUGACCCGCAGAAACCUGCUAUCCCGCGGCUGUCCCAGAGCCGCUGGGCUACACCACCCACGCGGACAAGACUGAGCAGUCUAGUAAGGAGGGUACAAGACUGGGAACUGGGAUUCGAAACCAGAAGUGCCCUAUGUCAUCGCAUCAGCAAGCCAGUAGCCUUCCUGCACCUCCGUCAAACCCCAGGAAACCUGGAUUAAAAGCGAACCAUCACUCACAACAGCUGAGACGGCAAAGCAAAAGGAGGGUCUCCUGCUGCCAAGGAUACAGGAUUCAUGAGCAAGCCUGCUCAGGACUAAUGGGAAACAAGUAGAGGAUCUCCCUCAUCACUCCUUUCACUGGGAGCUAGCUUUUAAUCGCAUUAAAUUACUUGUGCCGUCAGCCCACAUUUGUUAGGCAAGAGGGACAGCAAGCGAAGAAAUGCUGCCAGGACAAUUUUGAGCAGCCAUUUCUACCAGUUUUGUAUCUUGUGAAGAUGAUGAGAACUGGAAGUGAAGCUCCCAGCCUGCGGACUGACCAUAUUCAUCUUUGGCAAGCAGAGCAUGGACCCUCGCUCCACUCCUUCGUCUGCCAACUCCAGUCUUUAAUCCAGGAACUGAGGACGGAGGGGAGAACAGAAGCAGCAGUGUGAUGGGAAUUGUACUUGUAUCUUAGAAAUGACUCCUCCUGCAGCCUGCAAAAUUUGUACAGAAAAGCCAGGGCGAGGAACGGGAAAUGACAGGACGGCAGCCAGACAGUAACAGUAACCGGGACUAGAGUCAAGAAAAUCCCAGUGUAUUGAUCUCAGAUAUGAACUUCACAACGCGGGAGAAAGGGCAGCUUGGUCCCACCAAUUGCCUCCAGAGCGCAUUCAGCAUCUCACUUCCAAAGGUUUUGCUGACAUUCAGCUCAAAAUCUCCUUCUGGCAGUUGCAAGCCAUCGCUCCUUCCUAGCGCCCUGCGAAAUUCCUUUCUGCUCACAGUAUUUAGGCUCUUCAAAUAUUUGCAGACUUAUGUCCCACCUGAGCCCUCUCUCAGCCACGCUGCGCACAUUUAGCUCGCUUAACAUCUCCUUGGAAGUAAAUCUCUUUAGCCUCCUGAUCAUUUUUGUGCAGCAUAAAAAUGAUAAGUUUGCUCAUAAACUGUAAAAAGGCAGUAAUGUAUACGAGCAAACUUAUGAACAGAAACUCCAUUAGGAAAACAGCAUGUAUCUAAAUUUGGUUCAUCAGCUAUUAUUCUCUGAAAGCCUUAAUAGUUAAUCCAUCGCGGCUGUGACAAAGAUUCGCACGCUCUGCGCCUGCUGGAUAUAUAGCACAGCUCUGUUUAUGUUUAGACUAUAUUUUUUAUGAAUGUGCAGACACGCCUGCUGAUCAAUAAGGCUGAGAGAAACCUGCAGUAAUUAUUUCUGGGAAGAUAUAGAACAUAUGCAGUUUUAAUACAGAUUAAUGGCGUUUCAUUUUAGUCUCACUACUGCUUUCAAUUGGCAGCAUCCAGUCUUACUGCUCUCGUAAGUGCGAGCUGAGAGAGUGUAGAUUCCCGUACUAUAUAUCACAGGCUUUUAAUUGGUAUUUUGUGGCAUUUCCAGUCAUUUGCCAACUUUUGCAAAAAUCGACUCAAAAAUCAAGGAAGUGUCAUCAAAUAUCAGCCAGGUAGCCAUGUCCCAUCACACGAGCAGGUUUGGUACAGGUACAGGCCCAUUUAGCAGGGCCACAGAAUAUGAUUUCUUGACAUAAAUAUCUUGCUGGCCUUUGACUCUGCCUGAGGGUUACUGCGUUUCUUCCGCAAGCAUAAUGCGGAGGGAUGAUGUGUAAAUCAGGUGUAAACCUUCAUCCUACAUAGUCAAGACAGAAGCUCAGCCUACCUGUGAAGUAAAGCGUGGCUUAGCAUGACUGGACACAUCAGAGUGGCUCUUACAAGCCGCUACGCCUCUCCAUUAAUAACACAGCAAUUGCUCCCAACACCGCUCAUGUAAAAGCCAACUAAAAGGCUCUGGCCUGGGGUUAAUCCGGUGUUCUCCAUCCGUAACAAAGACAGGCAGACUUAAUUAGUGUCUAAACUUGCACCUUUUGGGCAGACUUAACAUUACCUAUGUGUCUGCUAAGUGGAGCUUGCUCCCUGAACGCUCCCCCCGGGGUAUUUCUUGCCAGCUGGAGCUCUGGCGUGAACCGCGGUGGGACAGCUCAGCACCGCGGGAGCAGAGCAGCCACCGAGCCGGCAAGGCUGACCUCCACCACGCUCGCCCCGCAUGUCUGGCUGCUGGACAAAGCAGCCCCAGGUGCCCUGCCACCAUCGGGCUGCUUAAAAAUGAACAGACAAGUCAGCAGGGCUUACCUAAUUUUACCUUUCAGCUGCUUAUGUCCUCCUACAGCAAACUGAAACGUCUAUAGCAUCACAGAAGCUCUUCCUAUACUGUCUGUAGGCAUCGCAGAAGGAUGCCAACUUGCACAAACUAGCCUCUGCUUCCCUAUCUCCAAAGCCGGAUUUUUUUUCCCCUGACGUCUAGGUAAUUCAAGUCCUUAAAGAAAAAUGCCGGUGUUGCUCUUUAAUUUAAGAAGCAGUGUUAAGAUGCCUAAAAUAGCAAAUAAAUGAUUGGAAGUAUAAACAUACGUGCUGCUCUGUAAAGGCUGUGGAUUACUAUCCAAGGAGAGAAUUUUAUUGUUAGGAAAAGAAAAAAAAAAAUCAAACGCCAUGCUCAAAGGCCACGCGGAUGUUCGGACUGGCAAGGAGCAUCCAGGUUGCCCAUCACUCACUUUGCAAACGGGAGCGCUCCGCUGCCGAUCACAUCUUCCAGGGGACCCUGGCACAGAGUGCUUUAGCAGCAGACGUUGUUCAGACACUGCUAACGACUACUAGUUAAUAGAUUACCCCAAUUAAUCAAGCAGAAGAGAAGGGUUAUAUCCGACACGCCACAACUCAGGCUGGGCGAGUGGUCACCAACCCAUCUGCGUCCCGCUUCUCUUUCCCAGUCUCUGCACCGGCUGCCACUGGUUUGCAUGCAGCCAGCAUUUCCCCCAUUUUGCCACUCAGACCGCUGAAAGACGCACACUCACGAGCUAAGCUGGAAUCAGAAUCUACUGUUUGGUCUAUAGCAUAAAAUUACUGAGAUGAAGUCAUUCAUGGGCUAUUUUCUUUCCCAUUUAGCUGCUUGGAAAUAAAUUCCCUGUCACCGAUAGAGUUUCAGCUGUCAGCUCUCUGACUGGAUGCAGUGACACUCUUGAAAACAGUGGGUUUUUUAUUCUCCUUUUCUUCUCACUCAUUAACUUCUUCCUCAUUUUCUUUAUUGCUGUUUCACUUACAGAUGAGCUGGCUGAAAUCCAGAAAACUCUCAGCGGCAGAGUACAAAACAUCAGGGGCACUCGAUUUCCCUUUGGACUAUUCCAUAAAUAAGAGCCUUUUGAUGUCUGCAUAAGUCAUUCAGAUACAUGUAUUAAUAUCAGGUCUUUCCACAGCCAAUCCUGGCCUAGCAUCAUCGUGGUUUCAUUCUGAUCUUAUUCACACCAGCACCUGUGCGGGACUCCUCACUCAUUAACAUGAGGUUCUCAUUCAAAUGAAGCCAAACACAUGGAUCUGUCUGUUAAUGAUUCUUUUCUUUCCCCUUCUCAUCAGUCAUUCUUGCAGCUUUUCUCCAAAAUAUUCAGGCUUAUCCACAAAUCAGGAGUCAGGGAAAACAGGAUGGAUCUAAGCCAUCUUCUUACUUUUCUAAUGCUUGAUCUGAUAGGACAUACCCAGAUUUGGUGCUUCCCAAGACGGCAGCUGCUUUGGUUCAUCAGCAUUUUGUCUAAUCCCUGCCCUUUCCGAUAUAUCCUGUAUGGACAAGAGGUGGUGGAGAGCCAUCUAUGUUAACUUGGGGCCAUUUCAGGUUGUCACCACACAAGCAGACUCCUUUCUCUACCUCUUUUGAUAAGCCUAUUGGCCACUUAGCACAUCCCAACCAGGAGCAGAAGAACAUGUGCUUUGUACCAAAUCCCAAGGGAAAAAAGUGGCACAAAAGCAGAUGACAAGAUAAAGAAUUGGCCAUGGACCUUAUCUCUUUUCAGGACAUGAGUUAUUAUUUAAGACACAAAUGUCUUCAGACAUGAUGCCUAUAUGCAUAUGCUCCGAUGACCAAGCAGACAUUAAAGACCUUCCCUCAUGGAGGGCCUGAUACUGUUUUUCACCACUGACUAUAAUUUCCUGGACAAAUAGCAAGUUCUUUUUUUUUCCCAAAAAAAUUUUGCAUUACAUCUUGCUCAUAUGCCCUUUCUCACAGUUUCUCUGAAUCUCUGCUUCACAUUUAGCUGAAGGUAACUUUGCAUUUAGGCUGAUUAGCUUAACGGAGACAGCUUGCAGCGGAGCUCAUGGUAACUGGCUAGUUGUGCCAGUUAGGCACUUUCAACAAGAUAAAACUGAGAGCUAACUUUGCUUUGGGAUAUUUAUUCAUCACGGAGAUGUAAUAUAUACAAAGAGGGAAAUCAAAAUUGUUAUUAUUAUUUUGAAAACAGACUAAAUACUUGUUAGGGGUCAAUGGCCAAAGGCACUGAGCUGGGAUUCAGACAGUUUGGGUCUGCUUCAGCGCUCUCCCACCACCUCCCAGUGCAACCUAAGCAAAUCACUUCAGCUCCCCAUCUGUCUAAUGAGGAUAAUAA
This is a long non-coding RNA of Dromaius novaehollandiae (emu), 5111 nucleotides long. RefSeq lists it as uncharacterized. NCBI's taxonomy places the organism in Eukaryota, Metazoa, Chordata, Aves, Casuariiformes, Dromaiidae. The record is from RefSeq and is a predicted model, not a curated record. The transcript is spliced from 7 exons.